This 422-nucleotide ribosomal RNA is filed under the name uncultured bacterium. Its description in RNAcentral is "bacterial SSU rRNA". It matches the Rfam family "Bacterial small subunit ribosomal RNA", at positions 355 to 774 of the family's 1533-position model. The record is from RNAcentral.
UAAGGAAUAUUGGUCAAUGGACGCAAGUCUGAACCAGCCAUGCCGCGUGGAGGAUGAAGGUCCUCUGGAUUGUAAACUUCUUUUAUCUGGGACGAAACACUUCUUUUCUAAGAGGCCUGACGGUACCAGAUGAAUAAGCACCGGCUAACUCCGUGCCAGCAGCCGCGGUAAUACGGAGGGUGCAAGCGUUAUCCGGAUUCACUGGGUUUAAAGGGUGCGUAGGUGGGUAUGUAAGACAGUGGUGAAAUCCCCGAGCUUAACUUGGGAACUGCCAUUGAUACUAUAUAUCUUGAAUACCGUAGAGGUAAGCGGAAUAUGCCAUGUAGCGGUGAAAUGCUUAGAUAUGACAUAGAACACCAAUUGCGAAGGCAGCUUACUACACAAUCAUUGACGCUGAGGCACGAAAGCGUGGGGAUCAAACA